CCGACUUUAGCUCAGUUGGAAGAGCAUCAGAUUGUGAAUCUGAAGAAACACGCGCCGGCGAACUUGCGGGAGUUGAA
Non-coding RNA from Mycena maculata, 77 nucleotides. Lineage: Eukaryota; Fungi; Basidiomycota; Agaricomycetes; Agaricales; Mycenaceae. The record is from the annotation of a GenBank genome assembly.